AUUCUGGUGCUUAGACAAGGAUGCUAUUCUUUCAUCAGUUUCAAAAUAAAUCACAGAGCUGUAGAAUGCAAUAAAAUACAGAGGUUAUGCUGCCAGAUAACAACCGUGUGUAUGUCUCCAAGACCAUAUGACAGGAUGGCAAGACAGCUUUGAGCUGCUGUCGCAAAGAGUUUCAAAGGUGACAACCAGCACUUUGAGUUGGACCUGGAGGCUUUUCGGUCAUGCAUGUCAAUUUAUAUCAUUUGCAUCAUUACAUAAUGAUGCAAAUUAACAGAACUAGAGUGAAAACAUCAUGUGCAUAAUUAUGCAAAAUAUGAAAUUACUGAAUUUGUGUGAAUGUGGACUGAACAGUAAAAAGUAUUAUUACUUU
Molecule: long non-coding RNA, 370 nt
Organism: Pantherophis guttatus
Lineage: Eukaryota; Metazoa; Chordata; Lepidosauria; Squamata; Colubridae
Source: RefSeq, a predicted model, not a curated record